AGCUCCAAUAGCGUAUAUUAAAGUUGUUGCAGUUAGAACGCUCGUAGUCGGAUUUCGGGGCGGUCCGACCGGUCUGCCGAUGGGUACGUACUGGUCGGAUGGUCCUUCCUCCUGGAGACCGUGCCUACUCUUGACUGAGCGGGGGCGGGAGACAGGACUUUUACUUUGAAAAAUCAGAGUGUUUCAAGCAGGCAGCUCGCUCUUGCAUGGAUUAGCAUGGGAUAAUGAAAUAGG
This 234-nucleotide ribosomal RNA is filed under the name uncultured eukaryote. RNAcentral's name for it is "partial small subunit ribosomal RNA". It matches the Rfam family "Eukaryotic small subunit ribosomal RNA", at positions 587 to 826 of the family's 1831-position model. The record is from RNAcentral.